UAAGCAUAUCAAUAAGCGGAGGAAAAGAAACCAACAGGGAUUGCCCUAGUAACGGCGAGUGAAGCGGCAAAAGCUCAGAUUUGAAAUCUCUUUAUUUUAUAAAGCGAAUUGUAAUCUGUAGAAGGUUGAAUGGCUGAAUAUUCUGAUUUAAAUUCCCUGGAAUAGGAUAUCAUAGAGGGUGAGAAUCCCGUGAUUUUCAGAAAAUAAGCCAAUUAAUUCACCUUUCGACGAGUCGAGUUGUUUGGGAAUGCAGCUCUAAAUGGGUGGUAAAUUUCAUCUAAAGCUAAAUACCUGCCAAAGACCGAUAGCGAACAAGUAGAGUGAUCGAAAGAUGAAAAGCACUUUGAAAAGAGAGUUAAAAAGUACGUGAAAUUGUUGAAAGGGAAGCGCUUGCGAUUAGACUUGAUAUUUAAAUUCAACCAGCUUACGGGCUCUGGUUUACUUUUUAUUUAUCAGGCCAGCAUCAGUUUGGUGGGAUUUAUAAAAACAAUUGGAAUGUAGUAAAUUUUUUUUAAAUUUAUGUUAUAGCCUUUUGUAUAAUUUUUUUAUCCACACUAGACUGAGGUCUGCUCUUCGGAAAGGAUGCUGGCAUAAUGAUCGUAAGCGACCCGUCUUGAA
RNAcentral lists this ribosomal RNA (618 nucleotides) under Gyalectidium imperfectum. Its description in RNAcentral is "partial large subunit ribosomal RNA". It matches the Rfam family "Eukaryotic large subunit ribosomal RNA", at positions 35 to 658 of the family's 3401-position model. The record is from RNAcentral. Lineage: Eukaryota; Fungi; Ascomycota; Lecanoromycetes; Ostropales; Graphidaceae.